Molecule: ribosomal RNA, 259 nt
Filed under: uncultured bacterium
Lineage: Bacteria
Description: partial 16S ribosomal RNA
Rfam family: Bacterial small subunit ribosomal RNA
Source: RNAcentral
UACGUAGGGUGCAAGCGUUAUCCGGAAUUAUUGGGCGUAAAGAGCUCGUAGGCGGUUUGUCGCGUCUGCUGUGAAAACUGGGGGCUCAACCCCCAGCCUGCAGUGGGUACGGGCAGACUAGAGUGCGGUAGGGGAGAUUGGAAUUCCUGGUGUAGCGGUGGAAUGCGCAGAUAUCAGGAGGAACACCGAUGGCGAAGGCAGAUCUCUGGGCCGUAACUGACGCUGAGGAGCGAAAGCAUGGGGAGCGAACAGGAUAGAU